This 503-nucleotide ribosomal RNA is filed under the name uncultured Glomus. RNAcentral describes it as "SSU rRNA". It matches the Rfam family "Eukaryotic small subunit ribosomal RNA", at positions 569 to 1074 of the family's 1831-position model. Lineage: Eukaryota; Fungi; Glomeromycota; Glomeromycetes; Glomerales; Glomeraceae. The record is from RNAcentral.
AGCAGCCGCGGUAAUUCCAGCUCCAAUAGCGUAUAUUAAAGUUGUUGCAGUUAAAAAGCUCGUAGUUGAAUUUCGGGGUUAGUAGGUUGGUCAUGCCUCUGGUAUGUACUGGUCUCACUGAUUCCUCCUUCCUGAUGAGCCGUAAUGCCAUUAAUUUGGUGUUGCGGGGAAUCUGGACUGUUACUUUGAAAAAAUUAGAGUGUUUAAAGCAGGCUAACGCUUGAAUACAUUAGCAUGGAAUAAUGAAAUAGGACGUUCGAUCCUAUUUUGUUGGUUUCUAGGAUUGACGUAAUGAUUAAUAGGGAUAGUUGGGGGCAUUAGUAUUCAAUUGUCAGAGGUGAAAUUCUUGGAUUUAUUGAAGACUAACUACUGCGAAAGCAUUUGCCAAGGAUGUUUUCAUUAAUCAAGAACGAAAGUUAGGGGAUCGAAGACGAUCAGAUACCGUCGUAGUCUUAACCAUAAACUAUGCCGACUAGGGAUCGGAUGAUGUUAAUUUUUAAUGA